This 899-nucleotide ribosomal RNA is filed under the name uncultured bacterium. RNAcentral's name for it is "bacterial SSU rRNA". It matches the Rfam family "Bacterial small subunit ribosomal RNA", at positions 23 to 917 of the family's 1533-position model. The record is from RNAcentral.
CUCAGAUUGAACGCUGGCGGCAGGCCUAACACAUGCAAGUCGAGCGGAUGAAGGGAGCUUGCUCCCUGGAUUCAGCGGCGGACGGGUGAGUAAUGCCUAGGAAUCUGCCUGGUAGUGGGGGAUAACGUCCGGAAACGGGCGCUAAUACCGCAUACGUCCUGAGGGAGAAAGUGGGGGAUCUUCGGACCUCACGCUAUCAGAUGAGCCUAGGUCGGAUUAGCUAGUUGGUGGGGUAAAGGCCUACCAAGGCGACGAUCAGUAACUGGUCUGAGAGGAUGAUCAGUCACACUGGAACUGAGACACGGUCCAGACUCCUACGGGAGGCAGCAGUGGGGAAUAUUGGACAAUGGGCGAAAGCCUGAUCCAGCCAUGCCGCGUGUGUGAAGAAGGUCUUCGGAUUGUAAAGCACUUUAAGUUGGGAGGAAGGGCAGUAAGUUAAUACCUUGCUGUUUUGACGUUACCAACAGAAUAAGCACCGGCUAACUUCGUGCCAGCAGCCGCGGUAAUACGAAGGGUGCAAGCGUUAAUCGGAAUUACUGGGCGUAAAGCGCGCGUAGGUGGUUCAGCAAGUUGGAUGUGAAAUCCCCGGGCUCAACCUGGGAACUGCAUCCAAAACUACUGAGCUAGAGUACGGUAGAGGGUGGUGGAAUUUCCUGUGUAGCGGUGAAAUGCGUAGAUAUAGGAAGGAACACCAGUGGCGAAGGCGACCACCUGGACUGAUACUGACACUGAGGUGCGAAAGCGUGGGGAGCAAACAGGAUUAGAUACCCUGGUAGUCCACGCCGUAAACGAUGUCGACUAGCCGUUGGGAUCCUUGAGAUCUUAGUGGCGCAGCUAACGCGAUAAGUCGACCGCCUGGGGAGUACGGCCGCAAGGUAAAACUCAAAGGAAUUGACGGC